CAGCGGCGGACGGGUGAGUAACACGUGGGCAACCUGCCUGUAAGACUGGGAUAACUUCGGGAAACCGGAGCUAAUACCGGAUAAUCCUUUCCCUCACAUGAGGGAAAGCUGAAAGACGGUUUCGGCUGUCACUUACAGAUGGGCCCGCGGCGCAUUAGCUAGUUGGUGAGGUAACGGCUCACCAAGGCAACGAUGCGUAGCCGACCUGAGAGGGUGAUCGGCCACACUGGGACUGAGACACGGCCCAGACUCCUACGGGAGGCAGCAGUAGGGAAUCUUCCGCAAUGGACGAAAGUCUGACGGAGCAACGCCGCGUGAACGAUGAAGGCUUUCGGGUCGUAAAGUUCUGUUGUCAGGGAAGAACAAGUACCGGAGUAACUGCCGGUACCUUGACGGUACCUGACCAGAAAGCCACGGCUAACUACGUGCCAGCAGCCGCGGUAAUACGUAGGUGGCAAGCGUUGUCCGGAAUUAUUGGGCGUAAAGCGCGCGCAGGCGGUUCCUUAAGUCUGAUGUGAAAGCCCCCGGCUCAACCGGGGAGGGUCAUUGGAAACUGGGGAACUUGAGUGCAGAAGAGGAGAGCGGAAUUCCACGUGUAGCGGUGAAAUGCGUAGAGAUGUGGAGGAACACCAGUGGCGAAGGCGGCUCUCUGGUCUGUAACUGACGCUGAGGCGCGAAAGCGUGGGGAGCGAACAGGAUUAGAUACCCUGGUAGUCCACGCCGUAAACGAUGAGUGCUAAGUGUUAGAGGGUUUCCGCCCUUUAGUGCUGCAGCAAACGCAUUAAGCACUCCGCCUGGGGAGUACGGCCGCAAGGCUGAAACUCAAAGGAAUUGACGGGGGCCCGCACAAGCGGUGGAGCAUGUGGUUUAAUUCGAAGCAACGCGAAGAACCUUACCAGGUCUUGACAUCCUCUGACAACCCUAGAGAUAGGGCGUUCCCCUUCGGGGGACAGAGUGACAGGUGGUGCAUGGUUGUCGUCAGCUCGUGUCGUGAGAUGUUGGGUUAAGUCCCGCAACGAGCGCAACCCUUGAUCUUAGUUGCCAGCAUUCAGUUGGGCACUCUAAGGUGACUGCCGGUGACAAACCGGAGGAAGGUGGGGAUGACGUCAAAUCAUCAUGCCCCUUAUGACCUGGGCUACACACGUGCUACAAUGGAUGGAACAAAGGGUCGCGAAGCCGCGAGGUGAAGCCAAUCCCAUAAAUCCAUUCUCAGUUCGGAUUGCAGGCUGCAACUCGCCUGCAUGAAGCCGGAAUCGCUAGUAAUCGCGGAUCAGCAUGCCGCGGUGAAUACGUUCCCG
Molecule: ribosomal RNA, 1298 nt
Filed under: Mesobacillus thioparans
Lineage: Bacteria; Bacillati; Bacillota; Bacilli; Caryophanales; Bacillaceae
Description: bacterial SSU rRNA
Rfam family: Bacterial small subunit ribosomal RNA
Source: RNAcentral